This is a long non-coding RNA of Girardinichthys multiradiatus, 936 nucleotides long. RefSeq lists it as uncharacterized. The record is from RefSeq and is a predicted model, not a curated record. NCBI's taxonomy places the organism in Eukaryota, Metazoa, Chordata, Actinopteri, Cyprinodontiformes, Goodeidae. The transcript has 2 exons.
UGUAUCUGAAGUAAUGGUUUUCUUCUCAUUCUUAAGGUUUAUGGAGGUUUUCUUUGGACGUUGCUGUCUCUGUUAAUUGACCUUCAGACCAGCCUGUGUGCCAUUUGUCAUGUGCUACUUUUUAAGACGCCUAACUUUGACCUAUGAAUCACUCAAAAAUUAAAAGCAAAUUCAAAUUACAUAUUUUGUUUACUGGCUGUAACCAAGACGCAAUCUGGCUUCCUGUUCUUACUCCAGCUCUUUGACAAUGUCCUUUCCACUUUGUUCAGCUCUGCAAGGAUGCUUUGUUUCCCUCAGGACAGCUAUGGUGGAGCACAUCUGAGCAGCUGCCCAAAGGCUCGUAGGGAAAGGCUGACUCUGCUGACGUCAUGACCUGCUGCUUGGGGCUUUUUCAAAGGCCAUCUGGAGAGCCAUUACCAGCAGAAACAGCAGCCCAGCACGCAAACCUUCCCAUUCAUCAAAGCCAGAGAGAAACCAGGAAAAGCACUGAAAGGAACAUUAGAGAGUCUCAACUGUGCACCAGACUGGAGAUUAUAGUAUGAUGGGAAAAAUAUCUUGGAUGAGUAGGAAAGAGCAAAGAAAAAAAGAGGACAGCACGGAGUGUUGUGGUACUUCUUGUUGGUCCCAUAUCCAUGUUUUGAACCAGAGGGCCGUGACCCUUGUUGCCGUAACGAAGGGAACAGAGAUGGCCUGGGGCCCCGGCUGGCAUGGCAAGGGUGCUGGGAGGAUUAGUUAAGAUUGCCUGCAGAUGUUUCAAGGGGCCCUCUGCUUACUUAACAAGAAGAACAUAAAUCUCUCAAGCUCUCUGCUGCACUGUAUUAUGUGAGGUCACACAUGAGGCCAUGUGGCUCUGACUUCCUCUCUGGAAGUACAACAGCAUGAAAUAAAAGUAUAUUGUUGUGGUACAGAGCUAUAAUGAGCUUCUUUUAACAAACA